Molecule: long non-coding RNA, 500 nt
Filed under: Rattus norvegicus (Norway rat)
Lineage: Eukaryota; Metazoa; Chordata; Mammalia; Rodentia; Muridae
Description: long non-coding RNA NONRATT000736
Source: RNAcentral
UUCUCCUGUGGGUGAGCCACGGACCUCGCCUUUCCUUCUCGUCUCUGAGAUCUGAGAACCCCACAUCAUCACCUCAGGCACCCCAGACCCCAGUUGCAGGAGGAGUUGACGAUGCCCCCUCACCAAACACUGGCAUUUUCCUCAGAACCAACGGGACACAGCUUAGCCAGGGAGGGGCGGCCACCCUUCCCAGAAUCCUGGCCGUGCCUCCGUCCUGAUGAGCCUUGCCUGACCUCUUCGGUGCUGACCGCCCCCAUGCAAUGCCUUACUGGUUUCGUACUGACCGUGUCCAUUCACAUGAGUGUUGUGCCUGCCUGGGGUUGUGUGUGUGUGUGUGUCUCCCCCAUCGAAGUAAACAGGGCUAUAAGUCAUCUAUCCAUGAAGAGAAUACAAGUUGCUGACUUCUCAUCCAAAAGAGUCAUCUGUGUGGACGUAUGAUUGAGAGAGAGAGAAAGAGAGAGAGAGAGAGAGAGAGAGAGAGAGAGAGAGAUCUAUGUUUU